GUCUGUCUGAGGUGGCGUGUAGAAGCAUGGGUUAUGAAGGGGGCGUGGGGAAGGCUUACCCCGGCGGCCAUUUUGGUGUUGGGGACGGUGUUAUCCAAUUGGACCUGCCCAACUGCAAGAAAUGAUGGUAGGGCUGGCAGCGAUGUGAGUGAGGAGGACGCCACCGGCGGAGUCACUGGCAGUAGUGCUGACGGAGUGACAAGAGAAGGAAGUAGUGCCAGUGGAAGAGGAGAUGGAGCAGGAAAAAAAACAUUAGUACCGCCGCCACCGCCAGCAGGAGGAAGGGGGAGAGGCGGCCCCAGGAAGUACAACAUCCCAGCAGUGAGCUGAAGAAGCUUGACCAACUGUUUGUUUCCGAGGACGACAAGGUGACGUAUGAUCGCCGCCAGACGCCUUCUUACCCAGCAGGUAACGAUCGCCACCACCACCACCACCACCACCACCACCACCACUUCCACCACCACCACCACCAUCACCAUCAAGAGGUGAAGUCCAAUCCCUUUUGGUGUUCCACGUGCCGAGCGAAUCCGGGGAGAAGGUGACUCAGGGCAUCUCGGCGCUGCUCUCCAUGACUGUCUUCCUCUUGACCAUCAGAGUCCCUGCCGCCAGCUGA
This is a long non-coding RNA of Scylla paramamosain (green mud crab), 613 nucleotides long. RefSeq lists it as uncharacterized. The transcript is spliced from 4 exons. The record is from RefSeq and is a predicted model, not a curated record. NCBI's taxonomy places the organism in Eukaryota, Metazoa, Arthropoda, Malacostraca, Decapoda, Portunidae.